AUUGAACGCUGGCGGCAUGCCUUACACAUGCAAGUCGAGCGAAUGAAGUUCCUUCGGGAACGGAUUUAGCGGCGGACGGGUGAGUAACACGUGGGCAACCUGCCUCAUAGAGGGGAAUAGCCUUCCGAAAGGGAGAUUAAUACCGCAUAAGAUUGUAGUACCGCAUGGUACAGCAAUUAAAGGAGUAAUCCGCUAUGAGAUGGCCCGCGGCGCAUUAGCUAGUUGGUGAGGUAACGGCUCACCAAGGCGACGAUGCGUAGCCGACCUGAGAGGGUGAUCGGCCACAUUGGGACUGAGACACGGCCCAGACUCCUACGGGAGGCAGCAGUGGGGAAUAUUGCACAAUGGGGGAAACCCUGAUGCAGCAACGCCGCGUGAGUGAUGACGGCCUUCGGGUUGUAGAGCUCUGUCUUCAGGGACGAUAAUGACGGUACCUGAGGAGGAAGCCACGGCUAACUACGUGCCAGCCGCCGCGGUAA
This 479-nucleotide ribosomal RNA is filed under the name uncultured bacterium. RNAcentral describes it as "partial 16S ribosomal RNA". It matches the Rfam family "Bacterial small subunit ribosomal RNA", at positions 30 to 523 of the family's 1533-position model. The record is from RNAcentral.